GAUGAACGCUGGCGGCGUGCCUAACACAUGCCAGUCGAGCGGCAGCGAGGGGUGCUUGCACCCUGUCGGCGAGCGGCGGACGGCUGAGUAACGCGUGGGAACGUGCCCCAAAGUGAGGAAUAACUGCCCGAAAGGGUAGCUAAUACCGCAUAUUAUCUUCGGAUCAAAGGAUUUAUCCGCUUUGGGAGCGGCUCGCGUCGGAUUAGGUAGUUGGUGAGGUAAUGGCCCACCAAGCCGACGAUCCGUAGCUGGUCUGAGAGGAUGACCAGCCAGACUGGAACUGAGACACGGUCCAGACUCCUACGGGAGGCAGCAGUGAGGAAUCUUCCACAAUGGGCGAAAGCCUGAUGGAGCAACGCCGCGUGCAGGAAGAAGGCCUUCGGGUUGUAAACUGCUUUUAUAAGUGAGGAAUAUGACGGUAACUUAUGAAUAAGGAUCGGCUAACUACGUG
RNAcentral lists this ribosomal RNA (451 nucleotides) under uncultured bacterium. RNAcentral's name for it is "partial 16S ribosomal RNA". It matches the Rfam family "Bacterial small subunit ribosomal RNA", at positions 28 to 507 of the family's 1533-position model. The record is from RNAcentral.